UUUCUAUUUAAUUUAAUAUUUUUAAUUAGUAAUGAAUAUUUUAUUUUAUGAAAUAACAUUUGUUUUUAGUAAUGUUUAUUGAAAUUAUAAUUUUUAUAUUUAUAUUUAAUGAUCACUGUGAGGGUGUUAUUGUUUAUUAGAUUUAAUAAGUAGAAUUUUAUUUUUGUACCUUUUGUAUCAGGGUUUAUCAAUUUAUUUUAUAUAUAUAUAGUUUUCCCGAAUUUAUAAGAGAUACCUAAUUUUGUUAUUUAUUGUAUUAAAAAUAUUAAUAAAAAUUAGUUUGGGGAUAUAUUCUAUUCAAUUAUAAUUAUAUCUGGUUUCUUAAUAUAUGAAUUUAAUUCAGGAUUAUUAAAUAUGCUAAUUUUAGUCUUUAAUUUAUAUUAGUUUAUAAUAUUCUAAGAUUAUGGGGGAUAAGCUCUAUAAUUAUUUUAUAGUUAUAAUUAUUAAUUGUUAAUCAAUAAAGUUCAUGGAUUAAAUUUUAUAGGUUUAGUAAUGGCCAAUAUAUAUUUUGUUAUAAUUAUUUUUAAUUUAUUUAUUUAAUUUAUUUGUGUAACUUAAUUUUUUAUUGAGAUUUUUUAAUUAAUGUUUAAUUUUAAGUAUUAAUGUUAGAAUUAGUAAGUUUUUGAUUUUAUAUAUAGUAAUUCGGCAAAUUUGAAUCUCACCUGUUUAUCAAAAACAUGUCCUGUUGAAUUAUUUGUUGUAUAUAUCAGGUCGUUUCCUGCUCAAUGAUUAUAAUUAUUAAAUAGCCGCAGUAUUCUGACUGUGCAAAGGUAGCAUAAUCAUUUGUCUUUUAAUUGGAGGCUUGUAUGAAUGGAUUGAUGAAGUUUCAUCUUUCUUUGUAUAAAAUAUUGAAUUUAACUUUUUAGUUAAAAGGCUUAAAUUUGUUUAUGGGACGAGAAGACCCUAUAGAAAUUUACUAGUUAUUAUGUAAUUUAUUAUUAGUUAAUUAAUCAAAUAGUUCCAUUAUCUGCUAGUUUCGUUGGGGUGACGUUGGGAUUUAUUUAACUCACAAUAAUUUUAUUUAUUGAUUUAUAUUUAUUAUGAUCCUUUAUUAUGGAUAUUAAGAUUAAUUUACCUUAGGGAUAACAGCGUAAUUCUUUUGGAGAGUUCAUAUCGAUGAAGGAGUUUGCGACCUCGAUGUUGGAUUAAAAUUAGUUUUAAGUGUAGCAGCUUAAUUUACUGGGUCUGUUCGACCUUUAAUUUUUUACAUGAUCUGAGUUCAGACCGGCGUGAGCCAGGUCGGUUUCUAUCUAUAAAAUUAUAAUUAUACUUUAGUACGAAAGGACCAAGUAUAUCAUAUAAUUUAUGUUAUAUAUUGAUUUAUUAUUAAAUUU
Molecule: ribosomal RNA, 1334 nt
Filed under: Megacopta caliginosa
Lineage: Eukaryota; Metazoa; Arthropoda; Insecta; Hemiptera; Plataspidae
Description: 16S ribosomal RNA
Rfam family: Archaeal large subunit ribosomal RNA (bases 886-1256)
Source: RNAcentral